This 253-nucleotide ribosomal RNA is filed under the name uncultured bacterium. RNAcentral describes it as "partial 16S ribosomal RNA". It matches the Rfam family "Bacterial small subunit ribosomal RNA", at positions 524 to 776 of the family's 1533-position model. The record is from RNAcentral.
UACGUAGGGUGCAGGCGUUAAUCGGAAUUACUGGGCGUAAAGCGUGCUCAGGCGGUUUCUUAAGUCAGAUGUGAAAGCCCCGGGCUUAACCUGGGAACUGCGUUUGAAACUGGGAGACUUGAGUGUGGGAGAGGGGGGUGGAAUUCCACGUGUAGCAGUGAAAUGCGUAGAGAUGUGGAGGAACACCAGUGGCGAAGGCGACUCUUUGGCCUGUAACUGACGCUGAGGCGCGAAAGCGUGGGGAGCAAACAGG